AGAGUUACUACUCCAAACCCAUUGUGAACCUUACCUAUGUUCUGUUGCCUCGGCGGCGUGGUCAGCGCCCCCUCUGAAAAGAGGACGAUGUCCUCCCGCCGGCAGCACCAAACUCUUUGAAUUUUACAGCGGAUCACAGUUCUGAUUUGAAAACAAAAAACAAGUUAA
RNAcentral lists this unclassified non-coding RNA (168 nucleotides) under Scedosporium boydii. Its description in RNAcentral is "internal transcribed 1". Lineage: Eukaryota; Fungi; Ascomycota; Sordariomycetes; Microascales; Microascaceae. The record is from RNAcentral.